RNAcentral lists this ribosomal RNA (921 nucleotides) under uncultured Methanosaeta sp. Its description in RNAcentral is "bacterial SSU rRNA". It matches the Rfam family "Archaeal small subunit ribosomal RNA", at positions 1 to 925 of the family's 1478-position model. The record is from RNAcentral. Lineage: Archaea; Methanobacteriati; Methanobacteriota; Methanomicrobia; Methanotrichales; Methanotrichaceae.
AUUUUCCGGUUGAUCCUGCCGGAGGUUACUGCUAUCGAGGUUCGACUAAGCCAUGCGAGUCGAAUGUAGCAAUACAUGGCGAACUGCUCAGUAACACGUGGACAACCUGCCCUUAGGUUGGGUAUAAACCCGGGAAACUGGGUAUAAUACCCGAUAGGUCUCGAUUGCUGGAAUGCAUCGAGAUUUAAAGCUCCGGCGCCUAAGGAUGGGUCUGCGGCCUAUCAGGUAGUAGUGGGUGUAGCGUACCUACUAGCCUACGACGGGUACGGGUUGUGAGAGCAAGAGCCCGGAGAUGGAUUCUGAGACACGAAUCCAGGCCCUACGGGGUGCAGCAGGCGCGAAAACUUUACAAUGCUGGCAACAGCGAUAAGGGAACCUCGAGUGCCAGGUUACAAAUCUGGCUGUCGAGAUGCCUAAAAAGCAUUUCAUAGCAAGGGCCGGGCAAGACCGGUGCCAGCCGCCGCGGUAACACCGGCGGCUCGAGUGGUAACCGUUAUUAUUGGGUCUAAAGGGUCUGUAGCCGGCCGGAUAAGUCUCUUGAGAAAUCUGGCAGCUUAACUGUCAGGCUUUCAGGAGAUACUGUCUGGCUCGAGGCCGGGAGAGGUGAGAGGUACUUCAGGGGUAGGGGUGAAAUCUUGUAAUCCUUGAAGGACCACCAGUGGCGAAGGCGUCUCACCAGAACGGACCUGACGGCAAGGGACGAAAGCUAGGGGCACGAACCGGAUUAGAUACCCGGGUAGUCCUAGCCGUAAACGAUACUCGCUAGGUGUCGGCCACGGUGCGACCGUUGUCGGUGCCGUAGGGAAGCCGUGAAGCGAGCCACCUGGGAAGUACGGCCGCAAGGCUGAAACUUAAAGGAAUUGGCGGGGGAGCACCACAACGGGUGGAGCUUGCGGUUUAAUUGGAUUCAACGCCGGAAAU